GUGCUCGCUUCAGCAGCACAUAUACUAAAAUUGGAACGAUACAGAGAUUAGCAUGGCCCCUGCGCAAGGAUGACACACCAAUUUGUGAAGCGUUCCAUAUGUUU
RNAcentral lists this small nuclear RNA (104 nucleotides) under Tursiops truncatus (common bottlenose dolphin). Lineage: Eukaryota; Metazoa; Chordata; Mammalia; Artiodactyla; Delphinidae. The record is from RNAcentral.